UUGACUCCCACAUCAUAGUCUUUUCCGCUAAAUCCUCGAAAAAUUCCCACCCUUGAUCCUCAUCUUUUUCCAUGAAUUUACCUUGGCACAUAGACUCUAAUAACGCGGUGGUUUGACUAUCUAAGGCCUCGUAAACUAUCUUGCAAAGUCUCCAUUUUUCUAUUCCGUGGUGGGGGCAUUGUGAGAGAAGAUUUUAAAACGGUCAAAGAAAUCCAAAAGACUCAUUUCCUUUUGAUGGAAUUGAUUUAUUUCAUUUGUAAUUCGAGUAGUCUUAUGAUUUGGAAAAUACUUUUUAAGAAAAACCACCACAAACCCCUCCCACGUGGAAAUAGAAUUAACGGGAAGACUAUAUAACCAUUUUUUCGCAUUCUCUUUAAGCGCAAAAUUAAU
Molecule: long non-coding RNA, 390 nt
Filed under: Daucus carota (carrot)
Lineage: Eukaryota; Viridiplantae; Streptophyta; Magnoliopsida; Apiales; Apiaceae
Description: long non-coding RNA (DCAR_LNC007698)
Source: RNAcentral